Molecule: ribosomal RNA, 522 nt
Filed under: uncultured methanogen VIARC-0
Lineage: Archaea; Methanobacteriati; Methanobacteriota
Description: bacterial SSU rRNA
Rfam family: Archaeal small subunit ribosomal RNA
Source: RNAcentral
AAUGCGGGAAACCGUGAUAAGGGAACUCCGAGUGCCCGUUAAAUCGGGCUGUCCAUCUGUGUAAAUAACAGGUGAAGAAAGGGCCGGGCAAGACCGGUGCCAGCCGCCGCGGUAAUACCGGCGGCUCGAGUGGUGGCCACUAUUACUGGGCUUAAAGCGUUCGUAGCUGGUUUGUUAAGUCUYUGGGGAAAUCUUCCGGCUUAACCGGAAGGCGUCUCAGGGAUACUGGCAGACUAGGGACCGGAAGAGGUGAGGGGUACUCCAGGGGUAGGAGUGAAAUCCUGUAAUCCUUGGGGGACCACCUGUGGCGAAGGCGCCUCACCAGAACGGCUCCGACAGUGAGGGACGAAAGCUGGGGGAGCAAACCGGAUUAGAUACCCGGGUAGUCCCAGCCGUAAACGAUGUGCGUUAGGUGUAUCGGUGACCACGAGUCACCGAGGUGCCGAAGAGAAAUCGUGAAACGUACCGCCUGGGAAGUACGGUCGCAAGGCUGAAACUUAAAGGAAUUGGCGGGGGAGCACA